RNAcentral lists this ribosomal RNA (499 nucleotides) under uncultured bacterium. Its description in RNAcentral is "partial 16S ribosomal RNA". It matches the Rfam family "Bacterial small subunit ribosomal RNA", at positions 30 to 523 of the family's 1533-position model. The record is from RNAcentral.
AUUGAACGCUGGCGGCAUGCUUUACACAUGCAAGUCGAACGGUAACAGGACGCACGGUGCUGACGAGUGGCGAACGGGUGAGUAAUGCAUCGGAACGUGCCCAGUCGUGGGGGAUAACGCAGCGAAAGCUGCGCUAAUAUCUCAUACGAUCUAUGGAUGAAAGCGGGGAACCGUAAGGCCUCGCGCGAUUCGUACGGCCGAAUGGCAGAUUAGGUAGUUGGUGGGGUAAAGGCUCACCAAGCCGACGAUCUGUAGCUGGUCUGAGAGGACGACCAGCCACACUGGGACUGAGACACGGCCCAGACUCCUACGGGAGGCAGCAGUGGGGAAUUUUGGACAAUGGGGGCAACCCUGAUCCAGCAAUGCCGCGUGCAGGAAGAAGGCCUUCGGGUUGUAAACUGCUUUUGUACGGAACGAAACGGCUCUGGUUAAUACCCGGGGCUAAUGACGGUACCGUAAGAAUAAGCACCGGCUAACUACGUGCCAGCCGCCGCAGUAA